This 472-nucleotide long non-coding RNA is filed under the name Vitis vinifera (wine grape). RNAcentral describes it as "long non-coding RNA (VVIN_LNC008213)". Lineage: Eukaryota; Viridiplantae; Streptophyta; Magnoliopsida; Vitales; Vitaceae. The record is from RNAcentral.
AUGAUUCUCUUAUGUUUGGUUUCACUAUAAAAAACACGAAAGAAAAUAAAAUAUAAUUAAAAUUAGUUAAAAAUUUCAAAUUUAUGCAUUUUUAACUUAUUUAAUCUUUCAUAGAAGAGGAAAAGUAAGUAAAAUAAGUUUGAUGUGAUAUAUAAAAAUGAUUUAUUGACUUCAAAUCUAUUUUGUAUUCUGUUUUAUGCUUUCUUUCCUUCUACUUUUUAUCUAUUUUCUUUCUUUCACAUUUUUCUUCAAGUUUUUUGGGAACCAAAUAUCGCCUUUUGGUUCUAAAUAUUUUUUUUUUUUUUUUUUUUUUGAUAGGAAACCUUUUGGUUCUAAAUAUUGGGAUUCUUUUUUUGCCCUGGGAGAAAAAAAGGAACUGAUAUCUGUAAAUAAACAUUCCAUUUUUAGGGUGGGUAUGCUACAAACCUGGCUCCAGCAAAAUUAGUGGGUAAGUUGCUCAACUUUAUUGAUA